RNAcentral lists this unclassified non-coding RNA (230 nucleotides) under Hevea brasiliensis (rubber tree). Lineage: Eukaryota; Viridiplantae; Streptophyta; Magnoliopsida; Malpighiales; Euphorbiaceae. The record is from RNAcentral.
GACAGUCAGACACCAUAAUUAAUGAAAUAACAACCAAUAAUUUAAACAAACACCAUAAAUAAAAAGCAAACUAAAAUGAAACAGAAUCUAAAAGUAAACGCAGCCCAAUAAUAAGACGAAUAAGUAUCAAAAUUAUCAAGAACAAAAUCAAAAGCCAAAUAAGAACUGAGCAACAUUUUCCAAAAUAAUAAUAAGAAGAAAAGGGACGAGUUUUAACUUGGAAAGCUCAC